AGCUACGGCCGGAAGAUGGCGGCGGCCGCAGAAUUGUCGCUGCCGGAGAAGUCCCUGGGACUGAGUAAGGGGAAUAAAUACAGUGCUCAGGGCAAGUGACAGAUUCCAGUUCUUCAGACAAACAAUGGUCCAAGUCUAACAGGACUGACUACUAUAGCAGCUCAUCUAGUCAAGCAAGCCAACAAAGAAUAUUUGCUGGGGAGUACUCCAGAAGAAAAAGCAAUCGUUCAGCAAUGGUUAGAGUACAGGGUCACUCAGAUAGAUGGACACGCCAGUAAAAAUGAUAUCCACACACUGUUGAAGGAUCUUAAUUCAUAUCUUGAAGAUAAAGUCUACCUUACAGGGUAUAACUUUACCUUAGCAGAUAUCCUAUUGUACUAUGGACUUCAUCGCUUUAUAGUUGACCUGACAGUUCAAGAAAAGGAGAAAUACCUUAAUGUGUCUCGCUGGUUUUGUCACAUUCAGCAUUAUCCAGGCAUCAGGCAACAUCUGUCUAGUGUUGUCUUCAUCAAGAACAGACUAUAUACUAAUUCCCACUAGAAGCUGUCCAUGCCAUACAGAAGAUCUAUUAAAAAUGUUUUCAAUGGAAAAUGUACUCUGGGCCACAGGACUAAUGUAAAUUAAUAUACAGUCAUUCAUUAUUUGUUGAAGUUGAUAGAAUUUUUGAAGUGUAAACUUGUGUCUGAAUGUUUUGUUCUUUAGUUGAAGUUUUGCAAUUUUUAUG
Molecule: RNA transcript, 724 nt
Organism: Piliocolobus tephrosceles (Ugandan red Colobus)
Lineage: Eukaryota; Metazoa; Chordata; Mammalia; Primates; Cercopithecidae
Gene name: eukaryotic translation elongation factor 1 epsilon-1 pseudogene
Exons: 1
Source: RefSeq, a predicted model, not a curated record